UACAGAGGUCUCAAGCGUUGUUCGGAUUCAUUGGGCGUAAAGAGCUCGUAGGCGGUCUGUCGCGUCUGCUGUGAAAUCCCGAGGCUCAACCUCGGGCUUGCAGUGGGUACGGGCAGGCUAGAGUGCGGUAGGGGAGAAUGGAACUCCAGGUGUAGCGGUGAAAUGCGUAGAUAUCUGGAGGAACACCGGUGGCGAAGGCGGCAUUCUGGACCGAAACUGACGCUGAGGGACGAAAGCCAGGGGAGCGAACGGG
This 253-nucleotide ribosomal RNA is filed under the name uncultured bacterium. RNAcentral describes it as "partial 16S ribosomal RNA". It matches the Rfam family "Bacterial small subunit ribosomal RNA", at positions 524 to 776 of the family's 1533-position model. The record is from RNAcentral.